This 2273-nucleotide ribosomal RNA is filed under the name Acanthoscina acanthodes. RNAcentral's name for it is "partial 18S ribosomal RNA". It matches the Rfam family "Eukaryotic small subunit ribosomal RNA", at positions 65 to 1675 of the family's 1831-position model. Lineage: Eukaryota; Metazoa; Arthropoda; Malacostraca; Amphipoda; Scinidae. The record is from RNAcentral.
AUAUGUGUUUUACCACACAAGCCUAGCGUAACCACGCGACGGGUCAUUAAAUCAUUUGUGGUCUGAUUGGGCUAAUCAGUUUUCCUUCUGUUGGAUAACUGUGGUAAUUCCAGAGCUAAUACAUGCGACUAUAUAUCCCUAGCCUAGCGAUAGGCGACGGAUGCUUUUAUUAGACCGAGGUGAACACGGCCUUGCAAUCAGUCUGCGGGUGUGCGUUCGCGCGUGUGCUCGUAGAUUCUGCUUGGUUCGCGAUGCUAAAGGUGACUCUGGAUAACACCAUGUUAAGCGCACGCACCACUAUCGAAGUGGGCUGGCGCUGCCACUUUCGAGUGACUGCCUUAUCAGCUUUAACGUUUGUUACGCGCAAACGCUGGCUGUGACGGGUAACGGGGAAUCAGGGCUCGAUUCCGGAGAGGCAGCCUGAGAGACGGCUACCACGUCCAAGGACGGCAGCAGGCACGUAAAUUACCCAAUCCCAGCACCUGGGGGAGGUAGUGACGAAACAUACCGAUGCGGGCGCGUCUUCGGACCGCCCGCAAUCAGAAUGGCUAUUUCCUAAACACCCUAACGAGAACCUACUAGAGGGCAAGUCUGGUGCCAGCAGCCGCGGUAAUUCCAGCUCUAGUGGCGUACACUAAAUUUGUUGAGGUUAAAAGGCUCGCAGUUGAAUGUCUGUUAAAGAGCGCAGAUGGGUCUAGACGUUGGGCUCCGUUGGAUGCCUUGGUUUCUUUAACGAGUCUCCUCGCGCUUUCUGGCGGUUGUUCCCGUCUUAUCAGUUACCCUCUCGCUCGAUGACAUACGGGCGUUUUCUCGGGUAUUUGCGAUGCGAGAUUCGUUGAGCGUGUGCGCCUCGCACUCACGUGUGUGGUCUGUGCGCGAGUUCGCGUUCUCGUUUAUUCCUUAUAUCAUUUGAGAUUGCGUUCGUGUCACCUUGAGUAAAUCAGAGUGCUUAAUGCAGUCGCAACGAAGGGUACCCGAGUGAUCGGAAACCCGAGGCUUGGGAGACACGCGACAGUGCGAGCUUAACGGUGAGUGCUUAGCUGUUUCCCUGUGACGGUCUUUGCUUUGCAUGGUACGUCGGAAGACGCCGCUUCUACUCGUUGGUCUAUCGCGAACGUUCGCCGCAAGGUGAUCGGACGUAUCACGCCAGCGAGUGCGGAAUGAUGUGACAGGAACGGUCGAGGGCAUUAGUAUUGCGAGGCGAGAGGUGAAAUUCUAUGACCCCCGCAAGACUAUCUGAAGCGAAGGCGUCUGCCAAGGACGUUUUCAUUAAUCAUGAACGAAAGUUAGAGGAUCGAAGGCGAUCAGAUACCGCCCUAGUUUUAACCGUAAACGAUAUUAACCAUCGAUCCGCGUGAGCACCCUCGUUGCGAGUGCGUGUCUAGCUUAAUAAGCGGCGUAUUCGUAGCAGUGUGGGCUCGGCGGGCAGCGCUCCCGGGAGGAAACUUUUAAGUUAGAUUCCUGGGGGAGUCUGGUUGCAAAGCUGAAACUUAAAGGAAUUGACGGAAAGGCACCACCAGGCGUGGAGCUUGCGGCUCAAUUUGACUCAACACGGGCAAACUUACCAGGCCAGCACGGUCGUACGAUUGACAGAUUGAAAGCUCUUUCUCGAUUGAGUGGAUGGUGGUGCAUGGCCGUUCUUAGUUGGUGGAGUGAUCUGUCUGGUUAAUUCCGAUAACGAACGAGACUCUCCCCUGCUAACCGGCGCUUAUAAACGCAGUAGACGGCGUGAUUCCAUGGUAAGAAGCUCUCGCGUAGUAUUAGCAACUCGUUUGCGAGGCUCGCGGGAUGUCUUCGGACGAGUCCGCUGAUCUCCUUGGCUCCGCUUUAGCACAGUUGAGGCGGUCCGUUCGUACUUGGUGGUGUGUUGUGCGCGCGCGCGUAUGCACUUAUGUGUGUGCGUGUGUGUGUGUGGCAUUGCGUGCCGGUGCGUUCGGUUUCUCGCCUUAGCGUUGUUGCRACUAGCGUCCUUGGAGAGCGUAUCUUCUUAGAGGUAUUGACSACUCUUCUAAGUCGWAAGAAACAGAGAGCAAUAACAGGUCUGUGAUGCCCUUAUAUGUUCUGGGCCGCACGCGAGCUACAAUGCCGGGUACAGCGGKUUCUUAUUCCUAUGCCGAGAGGUACGGGUAACCCUGUGAAAACCUAGUWCAGAUGAGUACUCGWAAGAGUGCUUGUCGCGUGGCUCGCUUGGGCCUGGGGCUUGCAAUUCUUUCCCACCAACGAGGAAUGCCUAKKAGUGGCGGAUCACUGAGCCCGCAGCGACUCASUCCCUG